AUUACUAUUACCUUGUAACUGCUGUGGCUUGGCUAUAAGUUAGAUGAUUUAGUGCUGAAUCCUCCCACACUCAUUUUCCAAGAUUUCUGGGUAUGUAAUUAAGUCAGCUCUGUACAUUCUGCACCUGAGAUGAGCACCUAAGUAUUUGGCACAGCAGUUCUCCUCACCACAGUACUCAUGCCUUUUGUUGGAUCUGUUUGUCACCUUCUAAAUUAGGUAGUUCUCUUUGUCUAGCAGCAGUAAAUGUCUUUGGCAGAAACAUAGGUGCUAGGCAACUGAGAGGAAUUUUUCAGACUUCAGAUCUGAAAAAGGCAGCAAGACGCCUGUCCUUUAGUGGCUGCUGAUUAGAGAUGCUGCUCUUUAAACACCACCAAGAACUGCUCAGUAAAAGAAAAUGUCAUGAUUUAGGUCCUUGCAAAAUAUUUUUGAACAGAUGUCUGAUGAAUACACCCAAGGUCAGAAAGUGUGAAUAAAAUCACAGCAUCUUUUGCUAGGUGGAGAGCAGUGAAUCUGGAGCACAAGCAGUGUAGAAUACAACUAUAUCAGAAUCACUCAGUGUGAAAACAUAAGGAUGAUUCAAUAGGUAGAAGGAGGAACCAGCCCUUAAAAGAAAGUACAAAAAGCAGUCAAAAGCCACAGAAGGGGACAAAAUUCCCAAAUGCACUUUAAGAAAGAUAUCAUUUUAAAUCUGUCUGAUUUCUGCAUUUGAGUCACACACAGGAUCUGGAUGCCCUUGAGCUAUGACGUGGAUGAUUAUUCUUCCUGCUGCUAUCAGCAUAUCCAAGGGAGGAAAAUGGGCUGAAUAAGGACAGUAGAAUCUGUGAGGACUUCUGAUUGAUCCUGCUGGACCCCAGGGAACAAGAGCUUUGACCAGAGAUCAGAAAGUUAGGAAGUGUCCUCUGCAAAGCCUGACACUAAUGCAAGACCCCAUGGUGGCCAAUCCAGGACAGACUGACCUUCCAGGAUGGAUCUUUUCCCUGACAGCUGGAGAGCUGCAGGGUAUCCUGUCACAAUAUCCAGCAGCUGGCACUCAUGGGGCGCAGUCCUGUGGGUCUCCAGGAAGACUGAAUACAGACAAGAAGAGGGAGUUGAAACUUAGUGGUAGCUAUGGCACUGCCCUUUACUGAAAGAGACUGAUGAGAUCUAGAGGAAAGGCUGUGUCUUGUACCGUGUGACAUUGAUAAAUGCCUCCAAACUGGAAGCAGGGAAUAGAACCCUCACCCUAGCUGCAUCCACAACAGAGAGGUAUCCACAAGAAGGAAGUACAAAAGCAGUGAUUAUGUAAGAACUGGUGCUGUUGGUUGUUUUAGAGCAUUCACGCUUCCAAUUAACACGUGUUCAGUAGAUCAGUGAUUGCUGGUUUUGUGUCUGUGGUCAUGGAUAAUUGCACUGUGUGAUGAACUAAAAUAUUCCCACUGAGUACAACUGUAUUGAUCCACAACCUAAUUGUAGACAUUAUGAAAAUACCUUUUAAGGAGCAUCAAUGAGCAGCCUUGUUCUGAAGGAAUUUUUAUUUGGUUUGGCAGCAUUAGAAGAGUUUAAAAAUCACUCACUGUGCUCAUCUUGUUGUUGAAAUUUGUUCACCUGAGGAAUGAUACACUGAGACUUCAUGCAUAGCUGGAGAUUAUUCACUAGAACAGUCAGCAGGGUGUAGGGAUAUACAAGUCAAAAGAUGAUUGUUUACUUGCAGAGUGGUUAUUAUUUUCCCCAAACAAUAUUCCUCUUAGUAGAGGUAUGGAACUGUCUGCUGGGGCCAGUGAUUCAAGUAGACAAAAACCUCAGUGGGACAUGGGCUUGUAGGGACAGCUGAGUUAGGAAAGGUCACUGUUUGGUCAAGAAAACCUCAUUUGAUUGCAC
This 1857-nucleotide long non-coding RNA is filed under the name Parus major (Great Tit). RNAcentral's name for it is "lncRNA (ENSPMJG00000015740.1)". The record is from RNAcentral. Lineage: Eukaryota; Metazoa; Chordata; Aves; Passeriformes; Paridae.